RNAcentral lists this ribosomal RNA (466 nucleotides) under uncultured ammonia-oxidizing beta proteobacterium. Its description in RNAcentral is "bacterial SSU rRNA". It matches the Rfam family "Bacterial small subunit ribosomal RNA", at positions 198 to 645 of the family's 1533-position model. Lineage: Bacteria; Pseudomonadati; Pseudomonadota; Betaproteobacteria. The record is from RNAcentral.
GGAGAAAAGCAGGGGAUCGUAAGACCUUGCGCUUUUGGAGCGGCCGAUGUCUGAUUAGCUAGUUGGCGGGGUAAUGGCCUACCAAAGCUUCGAUCAGUAGCUGGUCUGAGAGGACGGCCAGCCACACUGGGGCUGAGACACGGCCCAGACUCCUACGGGAGGCAGCAGUGGGGAAUUUUGGACAAUAGGCGCAAGCCUGAUCCAGCCAUGCCGCGUGAGUGAAGAAGGCCUUCGGGUUGUAAAGCUCUUUCAGCCGGGAAGGAAAGGCUGCGAUUAAUAAUCGCAGUUCAUGACGGUACCGGAAGAAGAAGCACCGGCUAACUACGUGCCAGCAGCCGCGGUAAUACGUAGGGUGCGAGCGUUAAUCGGAAUUACUGGGCGUAAAGGGUGCGCAGGCGGUUUUGUAAGUCAGAUGUGAAAUCCCCGGGCUUAACCUGGGAAUUGCGUUUGAAACUACAAAGCUAGA